UUACUCUUGACAUCCAGAGAACUUGGCAGGGAUGCCUUGGUGCCUUCGGGAACUCUGAGACAGGUGCUGCAUGGCUGUCGUCAGCUCGUGUUGUGAAAUGUUGGGUUAAGUCCCGCAACGAGCGCAACCCCCUAUCCUUUGUUGCCAGCGAUUCGGUCGGGAACUCAAAGGAGACUGCCGGUGAUAAACCGGAGGAAGGUGGGGAUGACGUCAAGUCAUCAUGGCCCUUACGAGUAGGGCUACACACGUGCUACAAUGGCGUAUACAAAGAGAAGCGACCUCGCGAGAGCAAGCGGACCUCAUAAAGUACGUCGUAGUCCGGAUUGGAGUCUGCAACUCGACUCCAUGAAGUCGGAAUCGCUAGUAAUCGUAGAUCAGAAUGCUACGGUGAAUACGUUCCCGGGCCUUGUACACACCGCCCGUCACACCAUGGGAGUGGGUUGCAAAAGAAGUAGAUAGCUUAACCUUCGGGAGGGCGUUUACCACUUUGUGAUUCAUGACUGGGGUGAAGUCGUAACAAGGUAAGCGUACGUGU
This 535-nucleotide ribosomal RNA is filed under the name uncultured bacterium. Its description in RNAcentral is "bacterial SSU rRNA". It matches the Rfam family "Bacterial small subunit ribosomal RNA", at positions 975 to 1509 of the family's 1533-position model. The record is from RNAcentral.